GCCGGGCACGGUGGCUCAUGCCUGUAAUCCCAGCAUUUUGGAGGCCGAGGCAGGUGGAUCACCUGAGGUCAGGAGUUGAAGACCAGCCUGACCAACAUGGAGAAACCCUGUCUCUA
This is an unclassified non-coding RNA of Papio anubis (olive baboon), 116 nucleotides long. It matches the Rfam family "Metazoan signal recognition particle RNA". From Rfam's summary of the family: The signal recognition particle (SRP) is a universally conserved ribonucleoprotein. It is involved in the co-translational targeting of proteins to membranes. The eukaryotic SRP consists of a 300-nucleotide 7S RNA and six proteins: SRPs 72, 68, 54, 19, 14, and 9. NCBI's taxonomy places the organism in Eukaryota, Metazoa, Chordata, Mammalia, Primates, Cercopithecidae. The record is from Ensembl.